This 1002-nucleotide long non-coding RNA is filed under the name Sus scrofa (pig). Its description in RNAcentral is "lncRNA (ENSSSCG00070018405.1)". The record is from RNAcentral. Lineage: Eukaryota; Metazoa; Chordata; Mammalia; Artiodactyla; Suidae.
CUAGACUCCUUUCUUUCUUUUUUUCUUGUCUUUUGGCCUCUUCUAGGGCCGCUCCUGCGCGGCAUAUGGAGGUUCCCAGGUUAGGGGGUCUAAUCAGAGCCUAUGCCAGGGCCACAGCAACGCAGGAUCUGAGCCGCAUCUGCAACCUAUGAAAGGAUGAAAAUGCAACCUGACUCUCCCAGAACCCAGGAAGUUAAUAAGAAGCUCUAAAUGCCCUCGAAUUCCGGACCCUGUUCCCUAUAGGUAAAAGAUCAUACUUUUUGCUGUUUUACGGCUUGCUUUCUGCUCUGUACAAAACUUUGUGGAAGGGGAAAAACAGGCCCCUGAGUAUGUGCCUCUAUGCUUGAAACUUCUUGAAACUGCUCCUAACUGCUUGUUUGGCUUCUGUAAACCUGCUUGCAUAAGAUAAAAAGAGGAGAAGUCAAUUGCCUAACCGACCCCAGUAAGAUCGGGCGUGCCACAAAAUGUUGAAAAUCCUGAUAAAUAUAUCUUGGUGACAAUAUGUCUCCCCCACCCAGAGACAGGCACAAACAUGUAACUCCAGAACAACUUAAAAUUAAUUGGUCCACAAAGCGCGGGCUCUUGAAGUUUUGAAUUGACUGGUUUGCGAUAUUUUAAAAAUGAUUAGUUUGUAAAAGCGCGGGCUUUGUUGUGAACCCCAUAAAAGCUGUCCCGACUCCACACUCGGGGCCGCAGUCCUCUACCCCUGCGUGGCGUACGACUGUGGGCCCCAGCGCGCUCGGAAUAAAAAUCCUCUUGCUGUUUGCAUCAAGACUGCUUCUCGUGAGUGAUUUGGGGUGUCGCCUCUUCCGAGUCAGGACGAGAGGGAUUUUAACUCGACUGGGCUUUCAUUUUGGUGCGUUGGCCGGGAAACCCGCGACUACCCCUCACACCCGAGAACCGACUUGGAGCUGCUGCAGACACUCUUCACAACCGAGGAGCGAGAGAGAAUUCUGUUAGAGGCUAGAAAAAAUGUUCCUGGGGCCGACGGGCGACCCACGC